GUUAAUGUAGCUUAAACAAAGCAAAGCACUGAAAAUGCUUAGAUGGAUGAAAACAUCCCAUAAACA
RNAcentral lists this transfer RNA (66 nucleotides) under Eolagurus luteus (Yellow steppe lemming). Its description in RNAcentral is "tRNA-Phe". It matches the Rfam family "tRNA". Rfam says of the family: Transfer RNA (tRNA) molecules are approximately 80 nucleotides in length. Lineage: Eukaryota; Metazoa; Chordata; Mammalia; Rodentia; Cricetidae. The record is from RNAcentral.